AUUGAACGCUGGCGGCAGGCCUAACACAUGCAAGUCGAGCGGAGCGGCGGACGGGUGAUUAAUGCCUAGUGAUCUGCAUGUUAGUGGGGGAUCACGUCCGGACACGGGCGCUAAUACCGCAUACUAUCAGAUCAGCCUCGGUCGGAUUAGCUAGUUGGUGGGGUAAAGGCCUACCAAGGCGACGAUUUCUAGCUGGUCUGAGAGGAUGAUCAGCCACACGGGGACUGAGACACGGCCCAGACGCCUACGGGAGGCAGCAGUGGGGAAUAUUGCACAAUGGGCGCAAGCCUGAUGCAGCCAUGCCGCGUGUAUGAAGAAGGCCUUAGGGUUGUAAAGCACUGUCAGCGGGGAGGCGUUACCCGAAGAAGAAGCACCGGCUAACUCCGUGCCAGCAGCCGCGGUAAUAC
Molecule: ribosomal RNA, 407 nt
Filed under: uncultured bacterium
Lineage: Bacteria
Description: partial 16S ribosomal RNA
Rfam family: Bacterial small subunit ribosomal RNA
Source: RNAcentral